GGAUGAACGUUGGCGGCGUGCCUAAUACAUGCAAGUCGAACGAAGACUGUAGUAAUACUGUCUUAGUGGCGAACGGGUGAGUAACGCGUGGGUGACCUGCCCCGAAGUGUGGGAUAACAGUCCGAAAGGAUUGCUAAUACUGCAUAAUAUCCAAGAGAUUAGAUGCUUUUGGAUUAAAGGAGUAAUUCGCUUCGGGAGGGGCCCGCGUCCCAUCAGCUAGUUGGUAAGGUAAUGGCUUACCAAGGCGAUGACGGGUAGGGGACCUGAGAGGGUGGCCCCCCACAAUGGAACUGAAACACGGUCCAUACACCUACGGGUGGCAGCAGUAGGGAAUAUUAGUAAUGGGCGAAAGCCUGAACUAGCAACGCCGCGUGUGCGAAGAAGGCCUUCGGGUCGUAAAGCACUUUUUGAGAGGAUGAGGAAGGACGGUACUCUCAGAAUAAGUCUCGGCUAACUACGUGCCAGCAGCCGCGGUAACACGUAGGAGGCAAACGUUAUCCGGAUUUACUGGGCGUAAAGCGCGUGUAGGUGGUUUGGUAAGUAGGGCGUGAAAGCUCCUGGCUCAACUGGGAGAGGACGUUCUAAACUGCCAAGCUUGAGGAUGGUAGAGGGAGGUGGAAUUCCGGGUGUAGCGGUGGAAUGCGCAGAUAUCCGGAGGAACACCAGUGGCGAAGGCGGCCUCCUGGACCACUCCUGACACUCAGACGCGAAAGCUAGGGUAGCAAACGGGAUUAGAGACCCCGGUAGUCCUAGCCCUAAACGAUGUAGACUUGGCGUCGGUGGUUUAAUCACCAUCGGUGUCGUAGCUAACGCGAUAAGUCUACCGCCUGGGGACUACGGCCGCAAGGUUAAAACUAAAAGGAAUUGACGGGGACCCGCACAAGCGGUGGAUGAUGUGGUUUAAUUCGAUGCAACGCGAAAAACCUUACCCACCUUUGACAUGGCAGGAAUUCCGAAGAGAUUUGGAAGUGCUCGAAAGAGAACCUGCACACAGGUGCUGCAUGGCUGUCGUCAGCUCGUGUCGUGAGAUGUUGGGUUAAGUCCCGCAACGAGCGCAACCCUUGCCAUUAGUUGCUACGAAAGGGCACUCUAAUGGGACUGCCGGUGACAAACCGGAGGAAGGUGGGGAUGACGUCAAGUCCUCAUGGCCCUUAUAGGUGGGGCUACACACGUCAUACAAUGGCCGGUACAAAGGGUAGCCAACCCGCGAGGGGGAGCCAAUCCCAUAAAGCCGGUCGUAGUCCGGAUCGCAGUCUGCAACUCGACUGCGUGAAGUCGGAAUCGCUAGUAAUCGUGGAUCAGCAUGUCACGGUGAAUACGUUCCCGGGUCU
This 1331-nucleotide ribosomal RNA is filed under the name uncultured bacterium. RNAcentral describes it as "bacterial SSU rRNA". It matches the Rfam family "Bacterial small subunit ribosomal RNA", at positions 27 to 1381 of the family's 1533-position model. The record is from RNAcentral.